Pistacia vera is the source of this 766-nucleotide long non-coding RNA. RefSeq lists it as uncharacterized. The transcript has 5 exons. Lineage: Eukaryota; Viridiplantae; Streptophyta; Magnoliopsida; Sapindales; Anacardiaceae. The record is from RefSeq and is a predicted model, not a curated record.
GGAUACAAAUCCUACCGCGGGACCACCGCCCUCAACGGCUCCAACACCCUGAACGGCCGACGUCCCCAGCACCGCAUGCGGAGGAGCACCGAAGCACAGGCACACCACCGCCGCCGCAUGCUACCGGAGCUCAAACACCACAGCCACCGCCGCUGAGCACCGAAGCCUCAAUACCACCACCAAUAUCAACCGCGCGACCACCACUCCCAACCGCUGCAACACCCUGAACUGCGGACCGCCCCACCAAGUAGUGCUUUAUAGGAAAAGUUCAACUGCUUCUGCUGAAGAGGUGCAGAAGUAGUCAAACGUUCACUGAAGCGUCCAGCUCCUCCUCGCUUGGGAAGAAAGUUAACUGAGACUCAAAAUGCAAGCGUCUUCUUGAACUUUACGAGUUGAUCUAGCUGUGGAAUUUCAAGAUGAAAUCAAUUUGCAUACUCCUAAGUCAAUACUAAUGGCAUAUAGCUUAUUGAGAAUUAGGGGAACAGUCAUAUUCUUACUCCACGAGCUAUUCGCAGCAAAGGUCGUCCUCCAUUCAAAAGAAAGUAAUCAAAGGUUGAACAAAUUGUUCGUAAAGUAAAAGAGAAGAAAUUGCAAAAGCAAGAAAAUGAAGAUAAAGCUUGAAGGAUUGCUGGAUACCCAAGCAUGUGUGCCUCUUGUAGUUUGUUUAGGACUAAUAUGGGUGUUACAUGAGUAAUGUGGUUUCAUUUUACCUCUUACGUUGUAUUAUGCUAGAUUGUUGCACCGUAGGCAGAUUCCAGGAGUGUUU